UCAUAAAACAAAGAAAAAGUACUUUCUAGUACUCUAAUGAUAAAAUUAUAUAUAAAACUAUACUAAAACACAAGCAAUGCCAAAGAGAAGAAGAAGGUUUUUGAAAGAAAAGAUGGUAGAGGAGUCUAUCAGGGGUUUCCUGAGAAUACACGAAUCGAUAUUAUAAAAUGUAUGUGAUUUGAUAAUUUUUCGUGUGUUCUCAGGUCGCCCCUGCUAGAUUUUUUUUCUACUAUUAGAUUGUUUUGGAUGAGAUAAGCAAAUAUUGUUCAGUCAUUCAGAUGGUUAUACAAUACAAGGUCUAGACGGUGAGAAGAGCUUGGGCCUAAAAUAAGCCUUUGAAGCCAAGAUGAUCGUUUCUAAAAGGCCAAUUUCCUAGACGUGAUUCGGUUUUGAAGAUUUUCUCUUGGGGAAUGCCUUUAUUCAAAGAGCAUUCGACCUAGACAAAUCUAUAAAACAAUCAGUUUUAAAAGGAAAUUGUCUAGGCCAUUCCUUACAAGAAAAUAGGCCAAGAUUGUCCAAUUUUUUAAUAGUGCGGAGUGCUAAUUCAUGUGCAAUCAUAAUUUACACUCCACAUUGGGUUGCCUGUUGGGCCUUAGCUCAUGAUACUUAGUGCAAUCUUAAGAAAUGUUAAUCUCUUUAUCAUUGUUGUUAAUCGAGAAUUGCUCUCUUGUUGUGCUAUGUUAAUUCGGCCCAAUGGCUUAUUUACUUAUAAAUAUGAUCAAUUAUCACUGUAAGUCUAUAAAAUAGAUUCAAAUUUUAGUUGUCGAGCAUAUGCUACUAAUAUUUUUUUUACUUUAAAUUUUAAAGAAAUAAUUUUACAGUGAAUAUUACUUUA
Cannabis sativa is the source of this 835-nucleotide long non-coding RNA. RefSeq lists it as uncharacterized. The record is from RefSeq and is a predicted model, not a curated record. The transcript is spliced from 2 exons. NCBI's taxonomy places the organism in Eukaryota, Viridiplantae, Streptophyta, Magnoliopsida, Rosales, Cannabaceae.